AUUGAACGCUGGCGGCAGGCCUAACACAUGCAAGUCGAGCGGAUGAAGGGAGCUUGCUCCUGGAUUCAGCGGCGGACGGGUGAGUAAUGCCUAGGAAUCUGCCUGGUAGUGGGGGAUAACGUCCGGAAACGGGCGCUAAUACCGCAUACGUCCUGAGGGAGAAAGUGGGGGAUCUUCGGACCUCACGCUAUCAGAUGAGCCUAGGUCGGAUUAGCUAGUUGGUGGGGUAAAGGCCUACCAAGGCGACGAUCCGUAACUGGUCUGAGAGGAUGAUCAGUCACACUGGAACUGAGACACGGUCCAGACUCCUACGGGAGGCAGCAGUGGGGAAUAUUGGACAAUGGGCGAAAGCCUGAUCCAGCCAUGCCGCGUGUGUGAAGAAGGGCUUCGGAUUGUAAAGCACUUUAAGUUGGGAGGAAGGGCAGUAAGUUAAUACCUCGCUGUUUUGACGUUACCAACAGAAUAAGCACCGGCUAACUUCGUGC
This 485-nucleotide ribosomal RNA is filed under the name uncultured bacterium. RNAcentral describes it as "partial 16S ribosomal RNA". It matches the Rfam family "Bacterial small subunit ribosomal RNA", at positions 30 to 508 of the family's 1533-position model. The record is from RNAcentral.